CCUACGGGAGGCAGCAGUGAGGAAUAUUGGUCAAUGGACGAAAGUCUGAACCAGCCAAGUAGCGUGAAGGAUGACUGCCCUCUGGGUUGUAAACUUCUUUUAUAUGGGAAUAAAAUGUUCCACGUGUGGGAUGUUGUAUAUGCCAUAUGAAUAAGAAUCGGCUAACGCCGUGCCAGCAGCCGCGGUAAUACGGAGGAUCCGAGCGUUAUCCGGAUUUAUUGGGUGUAAAGGGAGCGUAGGUGGAUUGUUAAGUCAGUUGUGAAAGUUUGCGGCUCAACCGUAAAAUUGCAGUUGAAACUGGCAGUCUUGAGUACAGAAGAGGUGGGCGGAAUUCGUGGUGUAGCGGUGAAAUGCUUAGAUAUCAUGAAGAACUCCGAUCGCGAAGGCAGGUCACCGGACUGCAACUGACACUGAGGCUCGAAAGUGUGGGUAUCAAACAGGAUUAGAUACCCCUGUAGUC
This 460-nucleotide ribosomal RNA is filed under the name uncultured bacterium. RNAcentral describes it as "partial 16S ribosomal RNA". It matches the Rfam family "Bacterial small subunit ribosomal RNA", at positions 338 to 795 of the family's 1533-position model. The record is from RNAcentral.